CGGCAGCGGGAGGAGCUUGCUUCCUCGCCGGCGAGCGGCGGACGGGUGAGUAAAGUCUGGGGAUCUGCCCGAUGGAGGGGGAUAACCACUGGAAACGGUGGCUAAUACCGCAUAACGUCGCAAGACCAAAGUGGGGGACCUUCGGGCCUCACACCAUCGGAUGAACCCAGAUGGGAUUAGCUAGUAGGUGGGGUAAUGGCUCACCUAGGCGACGAUCCCUAGCUGGUCUGAGAGGAUGACCAGCCACACUGGAACUGAGACACGGUCCAGACUCCUACGGGAGGCAGCAGUGGGGAAUAUUGCACAAUGGGCGCAAGCCUGAUGCAGCCAUGCCGCGUGUGUGAAGAAGGCCUUCGGGUUGUAAAGCACUUUCAGCGAGGAGGAAGGUGGUGAGCUUAAUACGCUCAUCAAUUGACGUUACUCGCAGAAGAAGCACCGGCUUAACUCCGUGCCAGCAGCCGCGGUAAUACGGAGGGUGCAAGCGUUAAUCGGAA
This 494-nucleotide ribosomal RNA is filed under the name Serratia rubidaea. RNAcentral describes it as "bacterial SSU rRNA". It matches the Rfam family "Bacterial small subunit ribosomal RNA", at positions 64 to 550 of the family's 1533-position model. The record is from RNAcentral. Lineage: Bacteria; Pseudomonadati; Pseudomonadota; Gammaproteobacteria; Enterobacterales; Yersiniaceae.